UGUGUCCUACGGGACGCAGCAGUGAGGAAUAUUGGUCAAUGGUCGGGAGACUGAACCAGCCAAGCCGCGUGAGGGAUGAAGGUGCCAAGCAUUGUAAACUUCUUUUGUCAAGGGACAAAAUCAGGCUCGAGAGCCUGACCGAGGGUACUUGAAGAAAAAGCAUCGGCUAACUCCGUGCCAGCAGCCGCGGUAAUACGGAGGAUGCGAGCGUUAUCCGGAUUUAUUGGGUUUAAAGGGUGCGUAGGCGGACUGUUAAGUCAGCGGUAAAAUCCCGGGGCUCAACCCCGGCGAGCCGUUGAAACGGG
Molecule: ribosomal RNA, 305 nt
Filed under: uncultured bacterium
Lineage: Bacteria
Description: bacterial SSU rRNA
Rfam family: Bacterial small subunit ribosomal RNA
Source: RNAcentral